ACCUUUCCCUAGUACGAGAGGACCGGGAAGGACGCACCUCUAGUGUACCAGUUAUCGUGCCUACAGUAAAUGCUGGGUAGCCAAGUGCGGAGUGGAUAACUGUUGAAAGCAUCUAAAAUAAAUAUAA
RNAcentral lists this non-coding RNA (127 nucleotides) under Gossypium arboreum. RNAcentral describes it as "Bacterial large subunit ribosomal RNA". It matches the Rfam family "Bacterial large subunit ribosomal RNA", at positions 2670 to 2795 of the family's 2925-position model. Lineage: Eukaryota; Viridiplantae; Streptophyta; Magnoliopsida; Malvales; Malvaceae. The record is from Rfam by way of RNAcentral.